GCUCGGGUGGCGAAACUGGUAGACGCAAGGGACUUAAAAUCCCUUGGGGGAUAACCCCCGUGUGGGUUCGAGACCCGCCCCGAGCA
RNAcentral lists this transfer RNA (86 nucleotides) under Gemmatimonadales bacterium. RNAcentral's name for it is "tRNA-Leu". It matches the Rfam family "tRNA". Rfam says of the family: Transfer RNA (tRNA) molecules are approximately 80 nucleotides in length. Lineage: Bacteria; Pseudomonadati; Gemmatimonadota; Gemmatimonadia; Gemmatimonadales. The record is from RNAcentral.